RNAcentral lists this ribosomal RNA (356 nucleotides) under uncultured bacterium. Its description in RNAcentral is "bacterial SSU rRNA". It matches the Rfam family "Bacterial small subunit ribosomal RNA", at positions 527 to 881 of the family's 1533-position model. The record is from RNAcentral.
GUAGGGGGCAAGCGUUAUCCGGAUUUACUGGGUGUAAAGGGAGCGUAGACGGCUGUGCAAGUCUGAAGUGAAAGGCAUGGGCUCAACCUGUGGACUGCUUUGGAAACUGUGCAGCUAGAGUGUCGGAGAGGUAAGUGGAAUUCCUAGUGUAGCGGUGAAAUGCGUAGAUAUUAGGAGGAACACCAGUGGCGAAGGCGGCUUACUGGACGGUAACUGACGUUGAGGCUCGAAAGCGUGGGGAGCAAACAGGAUUAGAUACCCUGGUAGUCCACGCCGUAAACGGUGGGCGCUAGGUGUGGGUUCCUUCCACGGAAUCCGUGCCGUAGCUAACGCAUUAAGCGCCCCGUCUGGGGAGU